GGCUCAGAUUGAACGCUGGCGGCAUGCCUUACACAUGCAAGUCGAACGGGCAGCACGGACUUCGGUCUGGUGGCGAGUGGCGAACGGGUGAGUAAUGUAUCGGAACGUACCUUUCAGUGGGGGAUAACGUAGCGAAAGUUACGCUAAUACCGCAUAUUCUGUGAGCAGGAAAGCAGGGGAUCGCAAGACCUUGCGCUGAUUGAGCGGCCGAUAUCAGAUUAGCUAGUUGGUGAGGUAAAGGCUCACCAAGGCGACGAUCUGUAGCGGGGUCUGAGAGGAUGAUCCGCCACACUGGAACUGAGACACGGUCCAGACUCCUACGGGAGGCAGCAGUGGGGAAUUUUGGACAAUGGGGGCAACCCUGAUCCAGCCAUGCCGCGUGAGUGAAGAAGGCCUUCGGGUUGUAAAGCUCUUUCGGCCGGGAAGAAAUCGCAUGGGCUAAUACCCUGUGCGGAUGACGGUACCGGCAUAAGAAGCACCGGCUAACUACGUG
This 493-nucleotide ribosomal RNA is filed under the name uncultured bacterium. RNAcentral's name for it is "bacterial SSU rRNA". It matches the Rfam family "Bacterial small subunit ribosomal RNA", at positions 21 to 507 of the family's 1533-position model. The record is from RNAcentral.